This 1127-nucleotide long non-coding RNA is filed under the name Malus domestica (apple). RNAcentral describes it as "long non-coding RNA (MDOM_LNC012511)". The record is from RNAcentral. Lineage: Eukaryota; Viridiplantae; Streptophyta; Magnoliopsida; Rosales; Rosaceae.
UUUUUUUUUUUUUGGAAAAUUAGAAAUUUGAAAAUGUGGGAGAGACAACAUAUACAAAUUUUGCUUCCACACUGUUAAGCAAGAGAUUGUGAUGCAAGCCACACCUUGUAGUAGUCGAAGGUUUGGAUGAACCAUAUAAAUUGAAUUUGCUUCGAACAGUCUUGAUCAAGAGUGUGUGAAACUUUCUACGAGUUGUAAUUGCCCUUCAUUGAUGAAGCUUUUGUUGGCACCAUAAAUUGGUUUUGCUUCACACUGUCUUGAUCAAGAGUGUGUGAAGGUUUUGAGAAUUGUGGUUGCCCUCUAUUGAUGAAGCUUUUGUUGGCACCAUAAAUUGGCUUUGCUUCACACUGUCUUGAUCAAGAGUGUGUGAAGUUUUUGAGAAUUGUGGUUGCCCUUCUUUGAUAAAGCUCUUGUCGGCACCAUAAAUUAGUUUUGCUUCACACUGUCUUGAUCAAGAGUGUGUGAGGCUUUUGAGAAUUGUGGUUACCCUCCAUUGAUGAAGCUCUUGUUGGCACCAUAAAUUGGUUUUGCUUCACACUGUCUUGAUCAAGAGUGUGUAAAGCUUUCUACGAGUUGUAGUAUUUGCAUUGUUACGGAGGGGAAAUGUCUGAAGCAGAUGCAAGAGGGCUGAAUAACUUGAUCUUCGUAUGCCAUGCACUGAAGUUGUUGUUGGCUUUCAAUAAGACUUUGUUGGUGACUAUAACUCUUGUUGGGCAUAAGUGCUCCCCUAGUUGAGUUGUCAAGCUUGACGGUUUUUGAUUAUUUGUGAAUGCUAGGAGUUCACAUGUACAAGUUGUACCACUCGUCUUCUGGUAGGUGGAAUAUAUGGUGAGUUGCUUUCAUCACAUGGUUGGUGGUACGAAGGUAAGUUCCUUCAUCACAUUUCAACACAUUUCAUCACCUUGUUGGUGGCAUGAAGGAUAGUAUGAGUUAUACAUUUCAUCACCUGGUUGGUGGCAUGAAGAUGAGUUCCUUCUUCACCUGGUUGGUGGCAUGAGUGGCAAGUUGCCGAAUGAUAUUAGAGUACGGGUUGUACAUUUCAUCACCUGGUUGGUGGCAUGAAGGAUAGUACGGGUUGUACAUUUCAUCACCUGGUUGGUGGCAUGAAGAUGAGUUCCUUCUUCACC